RNAcentral lists this small RNA (168 nucleotides) under Pan troglodytes (chimpanzee). RNAcentral describes it as "retained intron". Lineage: Eukaryota; Metazoa; Chordata; Mammalia; Primates; Hominidae. The record is from RNAcentral.
CGGCCGCCUGGUGGACUCCAAAGCCAAGACGCGGAGCGCCGGCUGUGCCGCCUACAUGGCACCCGAGCGCAUUGACCCCCCAGACCCCACCAAGCCGGACUAUGACAUCCGGGCCGACGUAUGGAGCCUGGGCAUCUCGUUGGUGAGUUGGGGUCCUCCCCUGUUCUC